Molecule: ribosomal RNA, 245 nt
Filed under: uncultured bacterium
Lineage: Bacteria
Description: partial 16S ribosomal RNA
Rfam family: Bacterial small subunit ribosomal RNA
Source: RNAcentral
CGGGUGAGUAACACGUGAGCGACCUGCCCUCGUACGGGGGACAACCCGGGGAAACCCGGGCUAAUACCGCAUGGUCGGGAUCCUCGCAUGAGGAUCCUGGAAAAGAUGGCCUCUGUUUCAUGCUAUCGUGCGGGGAGGGGCUCGCGGGCUAUCAGCUUGUUGGUGAGGUAACGGCUCACCAAGGCUACGACGGCUAGGGGGUCUGAGAGGACGACCCCCCACAUUGGGACUGAGACACGGCCCAG